AUUAGUCUCAUAGACUUUGACACCUGAAAAAUUUCUACAUGAGGCCACAUUAUAUAAAAUAACUAAAAGGAAGAACACUAUAGAAACAGUAUAAGGAUCAAUGCCUGCUAUGAUUUUGGAAAUUGAAGGCAAUAUACUUGAUAACAAAAAUUUAUAUGCAACACUUGGGUUCUUCGGUUAAUGGUGGUUAUACAUGUGUCAAUGAACUAGAAUGACUGCUUCAACUGGCACAUAAGAAAACUUUCAAUUGAAAAAGAAAGGGAUUUUUUUUUCGAAUAACUGCAAACCCAAGAAAUAAUAAAACAUAAAGCCUUUCACUUAUUCAAAUUAUUCAGUGAUCAACAUUACCAAACCACAAAGCACUUACCAUGAAUGGUAGGAGGAAGAGU
This 389-nucleotide unclassified non-coding RNA is filed under the name Hevea brasiliensis (rubber tree). Lineage: Eukaryota; Viridiplantae; Streptophyta; Magnoliopsida; Malpighiales; Euphorbiaceae. The record is from RNAcentral.